UUAAGCGACUAAGCGUACACGGUGGAUGCCCUGGCAGUCAGAGGCGAUGAAGGACGUGCUAAUCUGCGAUAAGCGUCGGUGAGGUGAUAUGAACCGUUAUAACCGGCGAUUUCCGAAUGGGGAAACCCAGUGUGUUUCGACACACUAUCAUUAACUGAAUCCAUAGGUUAAUGAGGCGAACCGGGGGAACUGAAACAUCUAAGUACCCCGAGGAAAAGAAAUCAACCGAGAUUCCCCCAGUAGCGGCGAGCGAACGGGGAGGAGCCCAGAGCCUGAAUCAGUGUGUGUGUUAGUGGAAGCGUCUGGAAAGGCGUGCGAUACAGGGUGACAGCCCCGUACACAAAAAUGCACAUAUUGUGAGCUCGAUGAGUAGGGCGGGACACGUGGUAUCCUGUCUGAAUAUGGGGGGACCAUCCUCCAAGGCUAAAUACUCCUGACUGACCGAUAGUGAACCAGUACCGUGAGGGAAAGGCGAAAAGAACCCCGGCGAGGGGAGUGAAAAAGAACCUGAAACCGUGUACGUACAAGCAGUGGGAGCCUCUUAAUGGGGUGACUGCGUACCUUUUGUAUAAUGGGUCAGCGACUUAUAUUCUGUAGCAAGGUUAACCGAAUAGGGGAGCCGAAGGGAAACCGAGUCUUAACUGGGCGUUAAGUUGCAGGGUAUAGACCCGAAACCCGGUGAUCUAGCCAUGGGCAGGUUGAAGGUUGGGUAACACUAACUGGAGGACCGAACCGACUAAUGUUGAAAAAUUAGCGGAUGACUUGUGGCUGGGGGUGAAAGGCCAAUCAAACCGGGAGAUAGCUGGUUCUCCCCGAAAGCUAUUUAGGUAGCGCCUCGUGAAUUCAUCUCCGGGGGUAGAGCACUGUUUCGGCAAGGGGGUCAUCCCGACUUACCAACCCGAUGCAAACUGCGAAUACCGGAGAAUGUUAUCACGGGAGACACACGGCGGGUGCUAACGUCCGUCGUGAAGAGGGAAACAACCCAGACCGCCAGCUAAGGUCCCAAAGUCAUGGUUAAGUGGGAAACGAUGUGGGAAGGCCCAGACAGCCAGGAUGUUGGCUUAGAAGCAGCCAUCAUUUAAAGAAAGCGUAAUAGCUCACUGGUCGAGUCGGCCUGCGCGGAAGAUGUAACGGGGCUAAACCAUGCACCGAAGCUGCGGCAGCGACGCUUAUGCGUUGUUGGGUAGGGGAGCGUUCUGUAAGCCUGUGAAGGUGUACUGUGAGGUAUGCUGGAGGUAUCAGAAGUGCGAAUGCUGACAUAAGUAACGAUAAAGCGGGUGAAAAGCCCGCUCGCCGGAAGACCAAGGGUUCCUGUCCAACGUUAAUCGGGGCAGGGUGAGUCGACCCCUAAGGCGAGGCCGAAAGGCGUAGUCGAUGGGAAACAGGUUAAUAUUCCUGUACUUGGUGUUACUGCGAAGGGGGGACGGAGAAGGCUAUGUUGGCCGGGCGACGGUUGUCCCGGUUUAAGCGUGUAGGCUGGUUUUCCAGGCAAAUCCGGAAAAUCAAGGCUGAGGCGUGAUGACGAGGCACUACGGUGCUGAAGCAACAAAUGCCCUGCUUCCAGGAAAAGCCUCUAAGCAUCAGGUAACAUCAAAUCGUACCCCAAACCGACACAGGUGGUCAGGUAGAGAAUACCAAGGCGCUUGAGAGAACUCGGGUGAAGGAACUAGGCAAAAUGGUGCCGUAACUUCGGGAGAAGGCACGCUGAUAUGUAGGUGAAGCGACUUGCUCGUGGAGCUGAAAUCAGUCGAAGAUACCAGCUGGCUGCAACUGUUUAUUAAAAACACAGCACUGUGCAAACACGAAAGUGGACGUAUACGGUGUGACGCCUGCCCGGUGCCGGAAGGUUAAUUGAUGGGGUUAGCGGUAACGCGAAGCUCUUGAUCGAAGCCCCGGUAAACGGCGGCCGUAACUAUAACGGUCCUAAGGUAGCGAAAUUCCUUGUCGGGUAAGUUCCGACCUGCACGAAUGGCGUAAUGAUGGCCAGGCUGUCUCCACCCGAGACUCAGUGAAAUUGAACUCGCUGUGAAGAUGCAGUGUACCCGCGGCAAGACGGAAAGACCCCGUGAACCUUUACUAUAGCUUGACACUGAACAUUGAGCCUUGAUGUGUAGGAUAGGUGGGAGGCUUUGAAGUGUGGACGCCAGUCUGCAUGGAGCCGACCUUGAAAUACCACCCUUUAAUGUUUGAUGUUCUAACGUUGGCCCCUGAUCGGGGUUGCGGACAGUGUCUGGUGGGUAGUUUGACUGGGGCGGUCUCCUCCUAAAGAGUAACGGAGGAGCACGAAGGUUGGCUAAUCCUGGUCGGACAUCAGGAGGUUAGUGCAAUGGCAUAAGCCAGCUUGACUGCGAGCGUGACGGCGCGAGCAGGUGCGAAAGCAGGUCAUAGUGAUCCGGUGGUUCUGAAUGGAAGGGCCAUCGCUCAACGGAUAAAAGGUACUCCGGGGAUAACAGGCUGAUACCGCCCAAGAGUUCAUAUCGACGGCGGUGUUUGGCACCUCGAUGUCGGCUCAUCACAUCCUGGGGCUGAAGUAGGUCCCAAGGGUAUGGCUGUUCGCCAUUUAAAGUGGUACGCGAGCUGGGUUUAGAACGUCGUGAGACAGUUCGGUCCCUAUCUGCCGUGGGCGCUGGAGAACUGAGGGGGGCUGCUCCUAGUACGAGAGGACCGGAGUGGACGCAUCACUGGUGUUCGGGUUGUCAUGCCAAUGGCACUGCCCGGUAGCUAAAUGCGGAAGAGAUAAGUGCUGAAAGCAUCUAAGCACGAAACUUGCCCCGAGAUGAGUUCUCCCUGAGACUUUAAGUCUCCUGAAGGAACGUUGAAGACGACGACGUUGAUAGGCCGGGUGUGUAAGCGCAGCGAUGCGUUGAGCUAACCGGUACUAAUGAACCGUGAGGCUUAACCUU
RNAcentral lists this ribosomal RNA (2903 nucleotides) under Escherichia coli. RNAcentral's name for it is "bacterial LSU rRNA". It matches the Rfam family "Bacterial large subunit ribosomal RNA". Lineage: Bacteria; Pseudomonadati; Pseudomonadota; Gammaproteobacteria; Enterobacterales; Enterobacteriaceae. The record is from RNAcentral.